CGCGCAGGCGGUGAUGUAAGUCUGAGGUGAAAACCCGAAGCUCAACUUCGGGACUGCCUUGGAUACUGCGUCACUUGAGGAUAGGAGAGGCAAGGGGAAUUCCACGUGUAGCGGUGAAAUGCGUAGAGAUGUGGAGGAACACCUGUGGCGAAGGCGCCUUGCUGGCCUAUUUCUGACGCUGAGGCGCGAAGCGGUGGGGAGCAAACA
RNAcentral lists this ribosomal RNA (207 nucleotides) under uncultured bacterium. Its description in RNAcentral is "partial 16S ribosomal RNA". It matches the Rfam family "Bacterial small subunit ribosomal RNA", at positions 568 to 774 of the family's 1533-position model. The record is from RNAcentral.